AACCUUUUCAGACACUCAACCGAAGCACAAGUAAAUCCAUGGUAAAUAAAUAAAAACUAAUCCAAACUUUAAUAUCUCAACCAAAGGAUAAUCAAACUGCUACUGGGAAUUAAUAAAAUUAAAAUAAAACUGAAAUCUUUGUGUUGGAAUGUCUAGCAGAAGGAGUUUACUUUGUUAAAGCACACCGUUUUAAGCUUUAAAAUGAAAAGAGAUAAUAAUAUUAUUCCUUGCCCAAGCUAUCCCAAAGAUUUAUAUUUUGGUUACAAACUGAAAAUAAUCAUAUGGAGCGCCAUGUGCUGCUACUUACUUAUUUUUUUGCUUUUCCUUGGAUUAUUCGUAUUAAUAAUAUACAUGUUUUUAUAACAUAAGCAAAUAAAUAUACGGUGUGGUUUUAUUACAAUUUAAAACUAUCUUGUUCUAAAUAUGUAUAUUUACUUAAAUUAAUUUUUCCGUGUUUCCGUGUGUACAACUACCUAUGCUAACGAUCCCGAUCAGUUUAAGAAGCAUUUAUUAUUUUUACCUAUAUUUGAAAGUCAAAAUUAUCCAGGUUGUAAUGUCAAUAAAAAAAUAUAUUUUAAAAA
Drosophila biarmipes is the source of this 581-nucleotide long non-coding RNA. RefSeq lists it as uncharacterized. Lineage: Eukaryota; Metazoa; Arthropoda; Insecta; Diptera; Drosophilidae. The record is from RefSeq and is a predicted model, not a curated record. The transcript is spliced from 2 exons.